Dermacentor albipictus is the source of this 2681-nucleotide long non-coding RNA. RefSeq lists it as uncharacterized. NCBI's taxonomy places the organism in Eukaryota, Metazoa, Arthropoda, Arachnida, Ixodida, Ixodidae. The record is from RefSeq and is a predicted model, not a curated record.
UGCCGCCAGCAGCGGCGUGUCGCCGAUUUCGUCUUUGCCGACAUCGAGCAAGUGCAGCGCCGGAAGUGUUGCGUUUUGCACUGCAUUUUCCUUGUGAUAUGGGAGAUCGCAACGCAGAGACGACCAGAUGCACACGAAAGACUACCAGCGGAGAGUGACCUGUGCCAUAUUUCUCUUAACCUCUCAGGUAUUCAAGAAAUGGCAACAUCCAGAAGAAGACGCCAUCUUAUCCAGCACGUUAUGGGUACACUCUGGUGGCUCCCGCCCCUGCAUCCUACGACCACCGUGUCCUCACUAUGUUCACUAGGGAGUUCGAAGCCUUUGGCGGCUCCUGCCACUGCGUCCUGCCACCACCGUGUCCUGGCUACGUCCACUAGGGAGUUGGCAGCCUUCGUGAUGAUGCCAAGCAGGCUGGAAGCUGACAGAACGAUCGAGGUUGCCUCGAAAUUUUACCCAAGCCGUGCCACACACUUGGGCCAGGCCUCUUGCAAACGACGUAUAACCAGGCUCAACGCAGGAUGUCGAGUGAGUCCGGAGAUCGAGGCAACCUGCUGUGCAACCAGCGUGCAACCUUUGGUGACCCUCAAUAUGUUCCACCUAUUUCACAGCUGCACUCAGCUUCCACCUAUCCAAACCGCAUCGCCAGCUGUGGUCACUCAUCGAACCAUGGAUGAAUGUUGGGGUGGAGUGAUUUGAAGAGACAUUUUUUUUGUCUCUUCAAAUCCUUAGCAAAUACUUGUGUUAUUAUAAUUAAUAUGUGUCUUUAGUGCCUAGUUUUUAAUGGUUCCUUUCUAUUAGAAUUCUCGCCAUCGAUUCCUGCUAUUAUAAUGUAUGUCUGUCUUUAUGCACAGUUUUUCAUAGUUCUUUUGUACUUGUCUAUGUAAUUGAUAGGUUCAUACUUCUUGUUAUACAGAAGGCUAAAAUGCAAACUUACGGCAUUUUUUUCUUCCUUUUGAUAAUCUACAGCACUGCAAAGUGUUCAAGAAAUGUAACCCAACGUGGGCUCUGGUGCAGGAAAAAUUUAAGAGCAAUAUAGAGUACUUAUUUCAAGCACCCAUUAUUUUUGGAAAAGUAAAGAAUAUAGGAGCACAAAAAAGAAAAUAUUAAACUAGAGAAACAUGAGUUCCCCUCAUAAGUCUGAUAAUAAUGUGACUUCCCUUCACUGCAAAGACACCAGUAAUAUACUCGCAUACAAGGUUUGAAACAAGAAAGCUAUGAUGCCCUUGGCAUUUCUCAGUGCCUAUUUGUCACACUGACGAAUGUCAAAGGCAUCGUAGGUUUCAUGUACACAUUGGUUGUGUUACACUUUUGAGUAUUGCAUUUCUCAAACACAAAGGUUUACAGCAGUGCUUUAAAUAGCAAAUGCAUUUCCUAAUUUAUUAGUGCAAGAGGAACAGUACAGAUCAUGUAAAAAUUUUUUUACAGACUAUAUGUCCAUGGAUGCACGCUUCUGAUGACAUAGCAGUGACGUGGUCGUGGGAUGAAUGACUUUAUUUCAGAUUUAAAUAUUGGCUUCCAAGUCUGGGUUAGUCUCCUACACUGAAUAGUCUAGGUCAGAGCUCAUUUACUAGAGAAAGUGAAUUAAACUAGGAAUUAUAAACAUCAAAAGAUCUUGUUUAGGAAAUUAAUGUGACAAUCAGCAAGGUUCUUUGGGUAUUCAUUUCCAAAUUUGUAGGAUAUAUUUUAUGACUGGUUUCAUUAUUGUGAGAACAAAUAUUUGUUUAUUGUCACACUAGAGUUGGCUGCCCCCAUUUGUAUACAACCCCUUUACAGGCUGAAAAUUCAGUGUGUUACCCUAUUUACUCGCAUAAUGAUCGCACUUUAUUGUAAAAAAAAUUGACUCAAAUUCAGAGGUGCGAUCAUUACGCUGGGUAAAUUUCCCACCAAAAGAAAAAAAUAUAUCCUCUGGCAUUUGCUACGGGAUGACAACAGGUCAACAAAGAGGUGGCUGCCUCUGUAUGUACUGCGGGACACACACACAAAACAAAAACAUGGUGGCCGGCAGAGCAAGCCGAACGCGCCGAACACGAUUUUUUUUUUCUUUUCGUGAGUACAUUACGUGCAUUCAAACAGUUUCUUCCGUAUCAGUAAUGAAUAAUAUCGGCAAGUUUGCGGCAAUAACAUAGCCAUGUCCACUUUGAGGGGACAGAAACAGAUGGGCGCGCUUAGCUGCCUGUGACAUAGGAACACAUGGCGGGCAUGCUGCGGAAACUGCGGCAUUUGUCUUCACCACUAUCCUAAUAUGGCACGUUUCCGCUAAGGGUGGGCGAAUAUCUUAGCUGCGUUACAAACGUCGGCGAAUGAAUAGGGUACACUUCUAACGUAUCACUGUAAACGUGGCUGCUAUCAUUGCCACUCGCGAUUUGUUGCGUGCCCACAAGUGCAGACGAGGAGAAACGAAAGACGCCUUUUUUGUUGUUUUUGUUGACCACAACCAUUACAAAGCCUACACAUAAUAAAGGCAAGUUUGGUUGUAGCUUUUUUUUGUCAUAUAAGUGCGGAAAGUGAUGGAAGGAAUGAAAUGGGGCAUCUGCUUAAGAAUGUUUGGUGCGUGCAGACUACUUGGUUUGUCUUGAAGAGUUGUUCUCAUAGCAGUUGACAGAUGGUAAGCGCGAUCAUUAUUAGCUAGACUUGGCACAUGACAUAUCGCUGCGGCAAGUUUGGGGUGCAAUCUUACACGA